This 257-nucleotide ribosomal RNA is filed under the name uncultured Oscillospiraceae bacterium. RNAcentral's name for it is "partial 16S ribosomal RNA". It matches the Rfam family "Bacterial small subunit ribosomal RNA", at positions 82 to 339 of the family's 1533-position model. Lineage: Bacteria; Bacillati; Bacillota; Clostridia; Eubacteriales; Oscillospiraceae. The record is from RNAcentral.
CUUUUCUGAUCUAGUGGCGGACGGGUGAGUAACACGUGAGCAAUCUGCCUUUCAGAGGGGGAUACCGAUUGGAAACGAUCGUUAAUACCGCAUAAUAUAAUUGAACCGCAUGAUUUGAUUAUCAAAGAUUUAUCGCUGAAAGAUGAGCUCGCGUCUGAUUAGCUAGUUGGUAAGGUAACAGCUUACCAAGGCGACGAUCAGUAGCCGGACUGAGAGGUUGAUCGGCCACAUUGGGACUGAGAUACGGCCCAGACUCC